This 788-nucleotide ribosomal RNA is filed under the name uncultured Lactobacillus sp. RNAcentral's name for it is "bacterial SSU rRNA". It matches the Rfam family "Bacterial small subunit ribosomal RNA", at positions 28 to 776 of the family's 1533-position model. Lineage: Bacteria; Bacillati; Bacillota; Bacilli; Lactobacillales; Lactobacillaceae. The record is from RNAcentral.
GACGAACGCUGGCGGCGUGCCUAAUACAUGCAAGUCGAGCGAGCUUGCCUAGAUGAAUUUGGUGCUUGCACCAAAUGAAACUAGAUACAAGCGAGCGGCGGACGGGUGAGUAACACGUGGGUAACCUGCCCAAGAGACUGGGAUAACACCUGGAAACAGAUGCUAAUACCGGAUAACAACGCUAGACGCAUGUCUAGAGUUUAAAAGAUGGUUCUGCUAUCACUCUUGGAUGGACCUGCGGUGCAUUAGCUAGUUGGUAAGGUAACGGCUUACCAAGGCAAUGAUGCAUAGCCGAGUUGAGAGACUGAUCGGCCACAUUGGGACUGAGACGCGGCCCAAGCUCCUACGGGAGGCAGCAGUAGGGAAUCUUCCACAAUGGACGCAAGUCUGAUGGAGCAACGCCGCGUGAGUGAAGAAGGGUUUCGGCUCGUAAAGCUCUGUUGGUAGUGAAGAAAGAUAGAGGUAGUAACUGGCCUUUAUUUGACGGUAAUUACUUAGAAAGUCACGGCUAACUACGUGCCAGCAGCCGCGGUAAUACGUAGGUGGCAAGCGUUGUCCGGAUUUAUUGGGCGUAAAGCGAGUGCAGGCGGUUCAAUAAGUCUGAUGUGAAAGCCUUCGGCUCAACCGGAGAAUUGCAUCAGAAACUGUUGAACUUGAGUGCAGAAGAGGAGAGUGGAACUCCAUGUGUAGCGGUGGAAUGCGUAGAUAUAUGGAAGAACACCAGUGGCGAAGGCGGCUCUCUGGUCUGCAACUGACGCUGAGGCUCGAAAGCAUGGGUAGCGAACAGG